RNAcentral lists this ribosomal RNA (85 nucleotides) under Erythrobacter sp. HI0028. The record is from RNAcentral. Lineage: Bacteria; Pseudomonadati; Pseudomonadota; Alphaproteobacteria; Sphingomonadales; Erythrobacteraceae.
GAUCCCAUCUCGAACUCGGACGUGAAACCGGACUGCGCCGAUGGUACUAGUGCUCAAGCACUGGGAGAGUAGGUCGCCGCCAGGC